GCUACGGGGGGCAGCAGUGGGGGAUAUUGCACAAUGGGGGGAACCCUGAUGCAGCGACGCCGCGUGGGUGAAGAAGCGCCUCGGCGCGGACAGCCCUGUCAGCAGGGAAGAAAAUGACGGUACCUGAAGAAGAAGCCCCGGCUAACUACGUGCCAGCAGCCGCGGUAAAACGGAGGCGGCAAGCGUUAUCCGGAUUUACUGGGGGUAAAGGGGGCGCAGACGGCGAUGCAAGCCAGGAGUGAAAGCCCGGGGGCCAACCCCGGUACUGCUCUUGGAACUGCGUGGCUUGAGUGCAGGAGGGGCAGGCGGAAUUCCUGGGGUAGCGGUGAAAUGCGUAGAUAUCAGGAGGAACACCGGUGGCGAAGGCGGCCUGCUGGACUGCAACUGACGUUGAGGCCCGAAAGCGUGGGGAGCAAACAGGAUUAGAUACCCCAGUAGUC
RNAcentral lists this ribosomal RNA (440 nucleotides) under uncultured bacterium. RNAcentral's name for it is "partial 16S ribosomal RNA". It matches the Rfam family "Bacterial small subunit ribosomal RNA", at positions 338 to 795 of the family's 1533-position model. The record is from RNAcentral.